AAGGGAGAGGACUACGUGGGAAUUUACCCUCAGACCAGGGAUAGCGGCGGGAAACUGCCGGUAAUACCUGAUAAUGUCUACGGACCAAAGGUGUGAUUCCGUCUGGGGAUGAGCCCACGUCCUAUUAGCUAGUUGGUAGGGUAAUGGCCUACCAAGGCAAUGAUGGGUAGCGGGUGUGAGAGCACGACCCGCCUCACUGGGACUGAGAACUGCCCAGACACCUACGGGUGGCUGCAGUCGAGAAUCUUCGGCAAUGAGCGCAAGCUUGACCGAGCGACGCCGCGUGCGGGAUGAAGGCCUUCGGGUUGUAAACCGCUGUCGUAGGGGAGCAAGAGAUGAGGGUACUCCCUCAAAUUUGAGCGAUCCUAGGAGGAAGGAGAGGCUAAGCUCGUGCCAGCAGCCGCGGUAAGACGAGCUCUCCAAACGUUAUUCGGUAUUACUGGGCUUAAAGAGUUCGUAGGCGGCUCCGUAGGUGAGGUGUGAAAUCCCUCGGCUCAACCGAGGAAUUGCGCUUCAAACCGUGGAGCUAGAGGUAGACAGGGGUAAGCGGAACAGAUGGUGGAGCGGUGAAAUGCGUUGA
This 580-nucleotide ribosomal RNA is filed under the name uncultured bacterium. Its description in RNAcentral is "bacterial SSU rRNA". It matches the Rfam family "Bacterial small subunit ribosomal RNA", at positions 102 to 694 of the family's 1533-position model. The record is from RNAcentral.